UCUGCUUGCUGCUACUUUACUGUUGCAGUUACUGCUAACUGCUACUACUAACUGUUACGUGCUCUAUUUACUGCUGUUGUUACUACGACCUGCUACUACUAUCUCCUAUUGCUACUGUUAUAUAAUUUGUGAUUUUUGUUCUGUUUGGUUGUGUGAUUCGGUGUGCAAAAGAGUGAGUUUUGUGUUCUGUGUGAAUCUUGCUUUUCUAUAGCGAAACUACAGAAGCUGUAUUUGGUUUUUCUUUUCUUGUGUUUGGUUUGUUGUUUGUUUUACUCUUGUAUAAUUUAUCCCGUAUAUUGAUUUUGAUUUUCCUUGCAGGAACUGAGGUCCCAUGGGUGCAGGAUCUUGAGGUGGUGGUGGUGUCACUGCACUUGACAUUCUUGCUGUGGACGGUUAGGGAAGUGUGGAGUGUGUGGAUCUAGUGUGGUGUGUGUGUGUGUGUGUGGAAGUGUGCUUUUUGAACACAACGGAGCACUGGUGAUUCCCCCUCCCAUGUGUGACCUCAGCCCUUUGUGUUGGAGGGAGGUGCUGGCAAAAUGUUCAGAGAAUGUUAUGUGACUAUUUUAAUCUGCCACAAAUUCUGAAAAUAAAUUUUGUACUUUUAUACUAUA
Non-coding RNA from Danio rerio (zebrafish), 611 nucleotides. NCBI's taxonomy places the organism in Eukaryota, Metazoa, Chordata, Actinopteri, Cypriniformes, Danionidae. The record is from RefSeq and is a predicted model, not a curated record.